GAGACUGCCAGGGAUAACCUGGAGGAAGGUGGGGAUGACGUCAAAUCAUCAUGCCCCUUAUGCUUAGGGCUACACACGUGCUACAAUGGGUAGUACAGAGGGUUGCCAAGCCGUAAGGUGGAGCUAAUCCCUUAAAGCUACUCUCAGUUCGGAUUGUAGGCUGAAACUCGCCUACAUGAAGCUGGAGUUACUAGUAAUCGCAGAGCAGAAUGCUGCGGUGAAUGCGUUCCCGGGUCUUGUACACACCGCCCGUCACACCACGGGAGUUGGAGACGCCCGAAGCCGAUUAUCUAACCUUUUGGAAGAAGUCGUCGAAGGUGGAAUCAAUAACUGGGGUGAAGUCGUAACAAGGUAGCCGUAUCGGAAGGUGCGGCUGGAUCACCUCCUUUCUAAGGAGA
RNAcentral lists this ribosomal RNA (398 nucleotides) under Clostridioides difficile. Its description in RNAcentral is "bacterial SSU rRNA". It matches the Rfam family "Bacterial small subunit ribosomal RNA", at positions 1145 to 1533 of the family's 1533-position model. The record is from RNAcentral. Lineage: Bacteria; Bacillati; Bacillota; Clostridia; Peptostreptococcales; Peptostreptococcaceae.